Molecule: ribosomal RNA, 482 nt
Filed under: uncultured soil bacterium
Lineage: Bacteria
Description: bacterial SSU rRNA
Rfam family: Bacterial small subunit ribosomal RNA
Source: RNAcentral
AGAUUGAACGCUGGCGGCAGGCCUAACACAUGCAAGUCGAGCGGCAGCACGGGUACUUGUACCUGGUGGCGAGCGGCGGACGGGUGAGUAAUGCCUAGGAAUCUGCCUGGUAGUGGGGGAUAACGCUCGGAAACGGACGCUAAUACCGCAUACGUCCUACGGGAGAAAGCAGGGGACCUUCGGGCCUUGCGCUAUCAGAUGAGCCUAGGUCGGAUUAGCUAGUUGGUGAGGUAAUGGCUCACCAAGGCGACGAUCCGUAACUGGUCUGAGAGGAUGAUCAGUCACACUGGAACUGAGACACGGUCCAGACUCCUACGGGAGGCAGCAGUGGGAAUAUUGGACAAUGGGCGAAAGCCUGAUCCAGCCAUGCCGCGUGUGUGAAGAGGUCUUCGGAUUGAAAGCACUUUAAGUUGGAGAAGGCAGUUACCUAAUACGUAUCUGUUUUGACGUUACCGACAGAAUAAGCACCGGCUAACUCUGUG